This 1071-nucleotide long non-coding RNA is filed under the name Monodelphis domestica (gray short-tailed opossum). RNAcentral's name for it is "lncRNA (ENSMODG00000045436.1)". The record is from RNAcentral. Lineage: Eukaryota; Metazoa; Chordata; Mammalia; Didelphimorphia; Didelphidae.
GCCCAACCACCAGCCCCGUCCCUCCUAUUGCAAAUGAAGUGUUCCUAGUCACCUUUGGAGAGGUUUCUAUCAGCAUUUUAGAUAGAAUUUCUCUUUAAAGCUCUAUGUCCUGGUUUUGUUAGUAAUGCAUGAAAAUGUCAAGGAUUCAUGGAAUUUUUAUCCUUGGUUACUUUUUGGAAUGUAAUUGUAUCCGUUACCUUUGAAUCCAUUGGCUCAGGUUCUCUAAGUAAAUCAUCCACUGCAAACUCCUUGAGGUAGGGACUGGUUUUUUUUUUUUCUCUCAUCAGUAACCUCAUCACUUAGCACAGAGCCUAGUAUACAGUAGGUAUACCCUGCUUAGUCUUUAGAAUUCUAGCAACCAGGAAUGCAUACACCCCCGCUUAAGGAUUAACUGUGAGAAGCAUGGCCUAUGACUGGCAUUUGCUAGCAAGUGACAAAUCAGGAACAACUGACUGACCCCCUGGGCUGUCCAAAGCCAAGAUUAAGGCACCAUUAGUACAUGUGAGACACAGGAAGUGACAUAAAGAAAGGCCUUUAUAUUUUGUGUCACUUCCUGUGAGAGGGGCUUUUGUGGACUUUGGUGGUGGAACGUGGCUUGAUGGAGCUCUAGCAUGGGACCUCCAUCUUCUUCCCUGAACAACCAUGUGGCUAUCCAGAUUUAAAUACAGCAGUAAGCCGGAGGAGCAACAUGACAAUGGUGGUCCACACUGCUUAUAUGAUUUAGGUUUCAAAGCACUGAUUUCUGAUAUUGGCUCAGGAUUCGUGGAGUUUAUACCCACGGAGUAAACUAUGUGGAAUGUAAUACCAACCUGGAAGGACUUCUAUUAUGGAUGCCUUGAUGGACAUGUGAACCAUUCGUAUAAGGACCCACCCAACAAAGCUGGCACAAUCCCGGCACCAUGAAGUUGGCUGGGAGAGAACUGGGUUCCUUGUUGAUCUGACUCUGUCUGGUGUAUCCUGAUUAUAACCUGAUCAUUCACCUCGUGGAGCUACUCCACGCGAACACCAACAUAUAGCCCACAUCUUGGUCUCUUGCAGUGGACCAUUAAUAAAUGAAUAUUGAGAAAAUGG